UACAGAGGGUGCGAGCGUUAAUCGGAACUACUGGGCGUAAAGCGUGCGUAGACGGCUAUCUAAGUCGGGUGUGAAAGCCCCGGGCUCAACCUGGGAAUUGCAUUCGAGACUGAAUAGCUAGGGUACGGUAGAGGGAAGUGGAAUUUCCGGUGUAGCGGUGAAAUGCGUAGAUAUCGGAAGGAACAUCAGUGGCGAAAGCGACUUCCUGGACCAGUACCGACGUUCAGGCACGAAAGCGUGGGGAGCAAACAGG
This 253-nucleotide ribosomal RNA is filed under the name uncultured bacterium. RNAcentral's name for it is "partial 16S ribosomal RNA". It matches the Rfam family "Bacterial small subunit ribosomal RNA", at positions 524 to 776 of the family's 1533-position model. The record is from RNAcentral.